RNAcentral lists this ribosomal RNA (447 nucleotides) under uncultured bacterium. RNAcentral's name for it is "bacterial SSU rRNA". It matches the Rfam family "Bacterial small subunit ribosomal RNA", at positions 355 to 825 of the family's 1533-position model. The record is from RNAcentral.
UCGGGAAUUUUGGGCAAUGGGCGAAAGCCUGACCCAGCAACGCCGCGUGAAGGAUGAAGUAUUUCGGUAUGUAAACUUCGAAAGAAUAGGAAGAAUAAAUGACGGUACUAUUUAUAAGGUCCGGCUAACUACGUGCCAGCAGCCGCGGUAAUACGUAGGGACCAAGCGUUGUUCGGAUUUACUGGGCGUAAAGGGCGCGUAGGCGGCAAUUCAAGUCAUCUGUGAAAUCUCCGGGCUUAACUCGGAACGGUCAGAUGAUACUGCUUUGCUAGAGUGCAGAAGGGGCAAUCGGAAUUCUUGGUGUAGCGGUGAAAUGCGUAGAUAUCGGGAGGAACACCUGUGGCGAAGGCGGCCACCUGGUUGGAUACUGACGCUGAGACGCGAAAGCGUGGGGAGCAAACAGGAUUAGAUACCCCCGUAGUCCCUGAGCGGGCUGGCAAGGCGCAU